Molecule: transfer RNA, 71 nt
Filed under: Azospirillaceae bacterium
Lineage: Bacteria; Pseudomonadati; Pseudomonadota; Alphaproteobacteria; Rhodospirillales; Azospirillaceae
Description: tRNA-Glu
Rfam family: tRNA
About the family: Transfer RNA (tRNA) molecules are approximately 80 nucleotides in length. Their secondary structure includes four short double-helical elements and three loops (D, anti-codon, and T loops).
Source: RNAcentral
UUGAUCGUCAUGCGGCACGAUUCCGCCCUCUCACGGCGGUAACAGGGGUUCGAAUCCCCUAGGGGACGCCA